UACGUAGGGGGCAAGCGUUGUCCGGAUUUAUUGGGCGUAAAGAGCGUGUAGGCGGCCUGACAGGUCUGCUGUGAAAACUCGAGGCUCAACCUCGAGAUGUCGGCGGAAACCGUCUGGCUAGAGUCCGGAAGAGGGGAGUGGAAUUCCUGGUGUAGCGGUGAAAUGCGCAGAUAUCAGGAAGAACACCUAUGGCGAAGGCAGCUCUCUGGGACGGUACUGACGCUGAGACGCGAAAGCGUGGGGAGCGAACAGG
Molecule: ribosomal RNA, 253 nt
Filed under: uncultured bacterium
Lineage: Bacteria
Description: partial 16S ribosomal RNA
Rfam family: Bacterial small subunit ribosomal RNA
Source: RNAcentral